ACGCCUAACACAUGCAAGUCGAACGAAGUAGCAAUACUUAGUGGCAGACGGGUGAGUAACAUGUAGGUAUCUGCCCUUUGGCCUGGAAUAACACGAGGAAACUUGUGCUAAUACCGGAUAAGUCUUUACGGAGAAAGCUUUAUGCACCAUUGGAUGAGCCUGCACUUGAUUAGUUUGUUGGUGGGGUAAUGGCCUACCAAGACUGUGAUCAAUAGCUGAUUUGAGAGGAUGAUCAGCCACAUUGGGACUGAGACACGGCCCAAACUCCUACGGGAGGCAGCAGUGGGGAAUCUUGCACAAUGGAGGAAACUCUGAUGCAGCGAUGCCGCGUGAGUGAAGAAGGCCCUUGGGUUGUAAAGCUCUUUCGUCGGGGAAGAAAAUGACUGUACCCGAAUAAGAAGGUCCGGCUAACUUCGUGCCAGCAGCCGCGGUAAUACGAAGGGACCUAGCGUAGUUCGGAAUUACUGGGCUUAAAGAGUUCGUAGGUGGUUGAAAAAGUUGGUGGUGAAAUCCCAGAGCUUAACUCUGGAACUGCCAUCAAAACUUUUCAGCUAGAGUUUGAUAGAGGAAAGCAGAAUUUCUAGUGUAGAGGUGAAAUUCGUAGAUAUUAGAAAGAAUACCGAUUGCGAAGGCAGCUUUCUGGAUCAAUACUGACGCUGAGGAACGAAAGCAUGGGUAGCGAAGAGGAUUAGAUACCCUCGUAGUCCAUGCCGUAAACGAUGUGUGUUAGACGUUGGAAAUUUAUUUUCAGUGUCGCAGCGAAAGCGAUAAACACACCGCCUGGGGAGUACGA
This 793-nucleotide ribosomal RNA is filed under the name uncultured Pelagibacteraceae bacterium. Its description in RNAcentral is "bacterial SSU rRNA". It matches the Rfam family "Bacterial small subunit ribosomal RNA", at positions 44 to 885 of the family's 1533-position model. Lineage: Bacteria; Pseudomonadati; Pseudomonadota; Alphaproteobacteria; Candidatus Pelagibacterales; Candidatus Pelagibacteraceae. The record is from RNAcentral.